GAUGAACGCUGGCGGCGUGCCUAAUACAUGCAAGUCGAGCGAACAGACGAGGAGCUUGCUCCUCUGACGUUAGCGGCGGACGGGUGAGUAACACGUGGAUAACCUACCUAUAAGACUGGGAUAACUUCGGGAAACCGGAGCUAAUACCGGAUAAUAUAUUGAACCGCAUGGUUCAAUAGUGAAAGACGGUUUUGCUGUCACUUAUAGAUGGAUCCGCGCCGCAUUAGCUAGUUGGUAAGGUAACGGCUUACCAAGGCAACGAUGCGUAGCCGACCUGAGAGGGUGAUCGGCCACACUGGAAGUGAGACACGGUCCAGACUCCUACGGGAGGCAGCAGUAGGGAAUCGUCCGCAAUGGGCGAAAGCCUGACGGAGCAACGCCGCGUGAGUGAUGAAGGUCUUCGGAUCGUAAAACUCUGUUAUUAGGGAAGAACAAAUGUGUAAGUAACUAUGCACGUCUUGACGGUACCUAAUCAGAAAGCCACGGCUAACUACGUG
Molecule: ribosomal RNA, 497 nt
Filed under: uncultured bacterium
Lineage: Bacteria
Description: partial 16S ribosomal RNA
Rfam family: Bacterial small subunit ribosomal RNA
Source: RNAcentral